Molecule: long non-coding RNA, 483 nt
Organism: Nasonia vitripennis (jewel wasp)
Lineage: Eukaryota; Metazoa; Arthropoda; Insecta; Hymenoptera; Pteromalidae
Exons: 2
Source: RefSeq, a predicted model, not a curated record
GAAAGACUUGUACUAAAUUCACACUGUUACAGGUACCAGCGCUGGCAAGGCGGGGAGAGCCGCUGGACGACGCGAGAGAGGCGGAGAGAGAGGGAGAGAGAGAGAAAAUUCGGCGACACGCGACUGAGACGCGUGCCGCCAGAUACGAUCCGACCUUUGAACUGACUCCUCGCGAGACGCUCAGUACUUUCGGGAGAUAGCUGUUAGGAGAGUAAAAGUUGAAGUGUGUGAGUGUGCGUGCGUAUACGACAUUGCGUCUCGCUACCGCAUCCGGAACUGCACCGAUGGGGUUCCGACUGCUGACAGCGAACAUCAGGGCGAUACCGGCUAAUUGUAAGUGCCAGCUCUCUCUCUCUCUCUCUCUCUCUCUCUCACGCUACACUCGCCAGGGAUCUCCUUAUCCUCCCUCGUACCUGCGACCUCGCUUGCUCGCAUGCAAGCCCUGUAUAUAGUUUGUCAUUAAACGCUGUGACAGUUCCUCAA